Molecule: ribosomal RNA, 411 nt
Filed under: uncultured Pseudomonas sp.
Lineage: Bacteria; Pseudomonadati; Pseudomonadota; Gammaproteobacteria; Pseudomonadales; Pseudomonadaceae
Description: bacterial SSU rRNA
Rfam family: Bacterial small subunit ribosomal RNA
Source: RNAcentral
CCAGGCCUUGACAUGACAGAGAACUUUCCAGAGAUGGAUUGGUGGCCUUCGGGAACUCUGACACAGGUGCUGCAUGGCUGUCGUCAGCUCGUGUCGUGAGAUGUUGGGUUAAGUCCCGUAACGAGCGCAACCCUUGUCCUUAGUUACCAGCACGUUAUGGUGGGCACUCUAAGGAGACUGCCGGUGACAAACCGGAGGAAGGUGGAGAUGACGUCAAGUCAUCAUGGCCCUUACGGCCUGGGCUACACACGUGCUACAAUGGUCGGUACAAAGGGUUGCCAAGCCGCGAGGUGGAGCUAAUCCCAUAAAACCGAUCGUAGUCCGGAUCGCAGUCUGCAACUCGACUGCGUGAAGUCGGAAUCGCUAGUAAUCGUGAAUCAGAAUGUCACGGUGAAUACGUUCCCGGGCCUU